Pseudohyphozyma bogoriensis is the source of this 92-nucleotide non-coding RNA. Lineage: Eukaryota; Fungi; Basidiomycota; Microbotryomycetes; Chrysozymaceae. The record is from the annotation of a GenBank genome assembly.
UUCUCGGUCGUAUAACGGUCAGUAUACAAGCUUGUCAUUUCUCUUCGAGUUUCGAUUCGCUUGUGAUCCGGGUUCGAUUCCCGGCCGGGAAG